This 254-nucleotide ribosomal RNA is filed under the name uncultured bacterium. RNAcentral describes it as "partial 16S ribosomal RNA". It matches the Rfam family "Bacterial small subunit ribosomal RNA", at positions 524 to 776 of the family's 1533-position model. The record is from RNAcentral.
UACGGAGGGUGCUAGCGUUGUUCGGAAUUACUGGGCGUAAAGGGCGCGUAGGCGGCCGUUUGCGUCGGAUGUGAAAGCCCGGGGCUCAACCUCGGAACGGCAUUCGAUACGGGACGGCUAGAGACCGGGAGAGGAGAGUGGAAUAGCCAGUGUAGAGGUGAAAUUCGUAGAUAUUGGCUGGAACACCGGUGGCGAAAGCGGCUCUCUGGGACGGUACUGACGCUGAGUGAGCGAAAGCCAGGGGAGCAAACGGG